AGCGGCGAACGGGUGAGUAACACGUGGGUGAUCUGCCCUGCACUCUGGGAUAAGCUUGGGAAACUGGGUCUAAUACCGGAUAUGACUACAGCAUGCAUGUGUUGUGGUGGAAAGAUUUAUCGGUGCAGGAUGGGCCCGCGGCCUAUCAGCUUGUUGGUGGGGUAAUGGCCUACCAAGGCGACGACGGGUAGCCGACCUGAGAGGGUGACCGGCCACACUGGGACUGAGACACGGCCCAGACUCCUACGGGAGGCAGCAGUGGGGAAUAUUGCACAAUGGGCGGAAGCCUGAUGCAGCGACGCCGCGUGAGGGAUGAAGGCCUUCGGGUUGUAAACCUCUUUCAGCAGGGACGAAGCGUGAGUGACGGUACCUGCAGAAGAAGCACCGGCUAACUACGUGCCAGCAGCCGCGGUAAUACGUAGGGUGCGAGCGUUGUCCGGAAUUACUGGGCGUAAAGAGUUCGUAGGCGGUUUGUCGCGUCGUUUGUGAAAACCCGGGGCUCAACUUCGGGCUUGCAGGCGAUACGGGCAGACUUGAGUGUUUCAGGGGAGACUGGAAUUCCUGGUGUAGCGGUGAAAUGCGCAGAUAUCAGGAGGAACACCGGUGGCGAAGGCGGGUCUCUGGGAAACAACUGACGCUGAGGAACGAAAGCGUGGGUAGCAAACAGGAUUAGAUACCCUGGUAGUCCACGCCGUAAACGGUGGGCGCUAGGUGUGGG
RNAcentral lists this ribosomal RNA (718 nucleotides) under Rhodococcus sp. E6(2011). Its description in RNAcentral is "bacterial SSU rRNA". It matches the Rfam family "Bacterial small subunit ribosomal RNA", at positions 94 to 826 of the family's 1533-position model. The record is from RNAcentral. Lineage: Bacteria; Bacillati; Actinomycetota; Actinomycetes; Mycobacteriales; Nocardiaceae.